CUCUCUUAAAGAUCAUUGGAAAUAUAUUCUCAGGCUUCUGUCUUCAAAUUUCAAGUUUAACAAGAAAAUCGAUUAAAGGUGGGUAUCUUUCUGAUUGGUUAAUUCUCAUUUUUAAUUGCCUAUUUAUGAUUAGAACUGUUUUUCCAUUUUCUUCUGAGAUCUCUAGAUGAUGAAAAGUUUCUGUUCCUUCAGUGGAAGUGGACAGAGACUCAGUUAUCCCUGAGGAUUUUCUCAGGCAAAUGUGAAACAAAUGGAAAGAAAAAAUUUCUCAAAGCUUACAGGAGAUGUGGCAUAGAAGCCAACCUCAAAAAGUCAGGUAGCAUUGCCACAUGGAUCCUCCAGCUGGAGGCUGAGGAGGUGAACUCAUAAAGGCCAUCUGCUUAGUUCUGGGCUUUCUCCAACAUUGUUCUUCCCUAAAGAGCAAAGGUUCCGUGUCCAUUCUUUGUGAAGUCAAGAUAUUAGAUUGGUUCUCGAGUGUCCAUGUCCUUGAGUGUCUCUCCACUUGUGCACUAUUAAUGGACAGGGGCUUCCUGUUCCACUGUGAUUGCUGGAGCCACUGCUUGGAUGUGGAUCCUGGCUCCACCCUUUAGUAGGACUGUGGCCUCCUGGAACGUUAGACUGUCUAUAAAAUGCAGUGAAUAACAGUGUAUCUCAGGAUUGUGAGGGGAAAAAAUAAGUAUCAACUCGUUUUAGAAAAGUGCUAAGCAUAUUUUAUGUAUUCAAUUAGUGGUAGUUACUACUCUUUAAAAAACGUUUUUAUAUAAAAAAAAAAAAAA
Myotis myotis is the source of this 776-nucleotide long non-coding RNA. RefSeq lists it as uncharacterized. The record is from RefSeq and is a predicted model, not a curated record. NCBI's taxonomy places the organism in Eukaryota, Metazoa, Chordata, Mammalia, Chiroptera, Vespertilionidae. The transcript is spliced from 2 exons.